RNAcentral lists this ribosomal RNA (292 nucleotides) under uncultured bacterium. Its description in RNAcentral is "partial 16S ribosomal RNA". It matches the Rfam family "Bacterial small subunit ribosomal RNA", at positions 505 to 796 of the family's 1533-position model. The record is from RNAcentral.
GUGCCAGCCGCCGCGGUAAGACGGAGGGUGCAAACGUUGCUCGGAAUCACUGGGCAUAAAGCGCACGUAGGCGGCCAACUAAGUCAGGUGUGAAAGCCCCCGGCUCAACCGGGGAAUUGCUCCUGAUACUGGUUGGCUAGAGGACGGUAGGGGUGAGUGGAACUCCAGGUGGAGCGGUGAAAUGCGUAGAUAUCUGGAGGAACACCGGUGGCGAAAGCGGCUCACUGGACCGUGUCUGACGCUGAGGUGCGAAAGCUAGGGUAGCGAACGGGAUUAGAAACCCGUGUAGUCC